GAUGAACGCUGGCGGCGUGCCUAAUACAUGCAAGUCGAGCGAACGGACGAGAAGCUUGCUUCUCUGAUGUUAGCGGCGGACGGGUGAGUAACACGUGGAUAACCUACCUAUAAGACUGGGAUAACUUCGGGAAACCGGAGCUAAUACCGGAUGAUAUUUUGAACCGCAUGGUUCAAAAGUGAAAGACGGUCUUGCUGUCACUUAUAGAUGGAUCCGCGCUGCAUUAGCUAGUUGGUAAGGUAACGGCUUACCAAGGCAACGAUGCAUAGCCGACCUGAGAGGGUGAUCGGCCACACUGGAACUGAGACACGGUCCAGACGCCUACGGGAGGCAGCAGUAGGGAAUCGUCCGCAAUGGGCGAAAGCCUGACGGAGCAACGCCGCGUGAGUGAUGAAGGUCUUCGGAUCGUAAAACUCUGUUAUUAGGGAAGAACAUAUGUGUAAGUAACUGUGCACAUCUUGACAGUACCUAAUCAGAAAGCCACGGCUAACUACGUG
This 497-nucleotide ribosomal RNA is filed under the name uncultured bacterium. RNAcentral describes it as "partial 16S ribosomal RNA". It matches the Rfam family "Bacterial small subunit ribosomal RNA", at positions 28 to 507 of the family's 1533-position model. The record is from RNAcentral.